GGGGCUAUAGCUCAGUUGAUAGAGCGCUUCCAUGGCAUGGAAGAGGUCCAGGGUUUGAGUCCCUGUAGCUCCACCA
This 76-nucleotide transfer RNA is filed under the name Saccharimonas sp. (SeqCode). Its description in RNAcentral is "tRNA-Ala". It matches the Rfam family "tRNA". Rfam says of the family: Transfer RNA (tRNA) molecules are approximately 80 nucleotides in length. Their secondary structure includes four short double-helical elements and three loops (D, anti-codon, and T loops). Further hydrogen bonds mediate the characteristic L-shaped molecular structure. tRNAs have two regions of fundamental functional importance: the anti-codon, which is responsible for specific mRNA codon recognition, and the 3' end, to which the tRNAs corresponding amino acid is attached (by aminoacyl-tRNA synthetases). tRNAs cope with the degeneracy of the genetic code in two manners: having more than one tRNA (with a specific anti-codon) for a particular amino acid; and 'wobble' base-pairing, i.e. permitting non-standard base-pairing at the 3rd anti-codon position. RNAcentral also lists the same sequence under 1 other name. The record is from RNAcentral. Lineage: Bacteria; Candidatus Saccharimonadota; Candidatus Saccharimonadia; Saccharimonadales (SeqCode); Saccharimonadaceae (SeqCode).